GAUCAUUGGCGGCGUGAUAGUGACAACGCAUGCGGCUGAAAACCUCGUGUUACUCAUUCAGAGUGGUCCUCAGUCAGAGCAUUAUGGUGUUUAUCUCUUCUUCUAUUGCUUCGCUGUUGCAGUAUCUCUCGUCUACAUUGUCAGUUCUUUCAUUAUGCUGAUGGUAGCGGAAAGGAGAGUGGUACUUGUCAUGGCCGUCUGGGUGGGGAUCACUGUACUACAGAUGACAGUCCUUGUAGCAUAUACCACUGUACACCAUUGUAGCGUCGCCGCUUUAGUACUUACCGGACUGGCCGUAGUUAGUCUGGUGUUCCACAUCUUCGUAGUGUAUUCGCACUGUAGAAUGAUACGAUUGGGUUACGAACCAGUGUAAAAAAAGAAGGAAAAUUGGUGAAGGAAAAUAUAUUAAUAACUCAAGAUAUUAUCAGAAGAAUGUUUUAUGAAGAAUUGAAGAGGACAAUCUUGGAGGAAGCAAAAAUAUCACUAAACGAGCUUUGUUAAGGUUUGAAGAUCAAUGUAAUGUUUCUUUUACGAGUUAUUGGUUAAGUCCACAGAUAAUGACA
Molecule: non-coding RNA, 563 nt
Organism: Penaeus vannamei (Pacific white shrimp)
Lineage: Eukaryota; Metazoa; Arthropoda; Malacostraca; Decapoda; Penaeidae
Source: RefSeq, a predicted model, not a curated record